CAGUCGCCGCGGUAAUACGUAGGGUGCGAGCGUUGUCCGGAAUUACUGGGCGUAAAGCGCGCGUAGGUGGUUUGUUAAGUUGGAUGUGAAAGCCCCGGGCUCAACCUGGGAACUGCAUCCAAAACUGGCAAGCUAGAGUACGGUAGAGGGUGGUGGAAUUUCCUGUGUAGCGGUGAAAUGCGUAGAUAUAGGAAGGAACACCAGUGGCGAAGGCGACCACCUGGACUGAUACUGACACUGAGGUGCGAAAGCGUGGGGAGCAAACAGGAUUAGAUACCCCGGUAGUCCCUGUCUCUUAUAC
RNAcentral lists this ribosomal RNA (301 nucleotides) under uncultured bacterium. RNAcentral describes it as "partial 16S ribosomal RNA". It matches the Rfam family "Bacterial small subunit ribosomal RNA", at positions 509 to 807 of the family's 1533-position model. The record is from RNAcentral.